UAAGGUCCCCAAAUAUAUGUUAAGUGGAAAAGGAUGUGGGGUUGCUUAGACAACCAGGAUGUUGGCUUAGAAGCAGCCACCAUUGAAAGAGUGCGUAAUAGCUCACUGGUCGAGUGACCCCGCGCCGAAAAUGUACCGGGGCUAAACAUAUUACCGAAACUGUGGAUGAACCUCUUUAGAGGUUCGUGGUAGGAGAGCGUUCUAAGGGCGGUGAAGUCAGACCGGAAGGACUGGUGGAGCGCUUAGAAGUGAGAAUGCCGGUAUGAGUAGCGAAAGAAGGGUGAGAAUCCCUUCCACCGAAUAUCUAAGGUUUCCUGAGGAAGGCUCGUCCGCUCAGGGUUAGUCGGGACCUAAGCCGAGGCCGAUAGGCGUAGGCGAUGGACAACAGGUAGAGAUUCCUGUACCAGUGCUAAUUGUUUAACCGAUGGGGUGACACAGAAGGAUAGGGAAUCGCACGAAUGGAAAUGUGCGUCCAAGCAGUGAGUGUGAGAAGUAGGCAAAUCCGCUUCUCGCGAAGCAUGAGCUGUGAUGGGGAAGGAAAUUAAGUACGGAAGUUCCUGAUUUCACGCUGUCAAGAAAAGCCUCUAGGAAGAGUAGUACUGCCCGUACCGCAAACCGACACAGGUAGAUGAGGAGAGAAUCCUAAGGUGAGCGAGAGAACUCUCGUUAAGGAACUCGGCAAAAUGACCCCGUAACUUCGGGAGAAGGGGUGCUCUAUUAGGGUGCAAGCCCGAGAGAGCCGCAGUGAAUAGGCCCAGGCGACUGUUUAGCAAAAACACAGGUCUCUGCAAAACCGUAAGGUGACGUAUAGGGGCUGACGCCUGCCCGGUGCUGGAAGGUUAAGAGGAGUGCUUAGCUUCGGCGAAGGUACGAAUUGAAGCCCCAGUAAACGGCGGCCGUAACUAUAACGGUCCUAAGGUAGCGAAAUUCCUUGUCGGGUAAGUUCCGACCCGCACGAAAGGCGCAACGAUCUGGGCACUGUCUCAACGAGAGACUCGGUGAAAUUAUAGUACCUGUGAAGAUGCAGGUUACCCGCGACAGGACGGAAAGACCCCGUGGAGCUUUACUGCAACCUGAUAUGGAAUGUUUGUACCGCUUGUACAGGAUAGGUAGGAGCCGAAGAGACGUGUGCGCUAGCAUACGAGGAGGCAAUGGUGGGAUACUACCCUGGCUGUAUGACCAUUCUAACCCGCCACGCUUAGCGCGUGGGGAGACAGUGUCAGGUGGGCAGUUUGACUGGGGCGGUCGCCUCCUAAAGAGUAACGGAGGCGCCCAAAGGUUCCCUCAGAAUGGAUGGAAAUCAUUCGCAGAGUGUAAAGGCACAAGGGAGCUUGACUGCGAGACUGACAAGUCGAGCAGGGACGAAAGUCGGGCUUAGUGAUCCGGUGGUUCCGCAUGGAAGGGCCAUCGCUCAACGGAUAAAAGCUACCCCGGGGAUAACAGGCUUAUCUCCCCCAAGAGUCCACAUCGACGGGGAGGUUUGGCACCUCGAUGUCGGCUCGUCGCAUCCUGGGGCUGUAGUCGGUCCCAAGGGUUGGGCUGUUCGCCCAUUAAAGCGGCACGCGAGCUGGGUUCAGAACGUCGUGAGACAGUUCGGUCCCUAUCCGUCGCGGGCGCAGGAAAUUUGAGAGGAGCUGUCCUUAGUACGAGAGGACCGGGAUGGACACACCGCUGGUGUACCAGUUGUUCCGCCAGGAGCAUCGCUGGGUAGCUAUGUGUGGCAGGGAUAAACGCUGAAAGCAUCUAAGCGUGAAGCCCCCCUCAAGAUGAGAUUUCCCAUUUCUUCGGAAAGUAAGAUCCCUGAAAGAUGAUCAGGUAGAUAGGUUUGGAGUGGAAGUGUAGCGAUACAUGGAGCGGACAAAUACUAAUCGAUCGAGGACUUAACCAAAA
RNAcentral lists this ribosomal RNA (1890 nucleotides) under Listeria monocytogenes. RNAcentral describes it as "partial 23S ribosomal RNA". It matches the Rfam family "Bacterial large subunit ribosomal RNA", at positions 1040 to 2925 of the family's 2925-position model. The record is from RNAcentral. Lineage: Bacteria; Bacillati; Bacillota; Bacilli; Caryophanales; Listeriaceae.